UGUCAUUUAUUAUCCAGACCUGACCAGUUGUGGUAACCCUUCCUCACUUCUCCCUUCCAGGUUUGCCCAUGUGUUCCUGGAGCCUGGCACGUUUGUUUUCAGGGACAGCUGCGCUCAGGAACGCUUCCUGAUUGUGACAGUGAAGGAGGCCAGCGUGAGCUGUGACCCCAGGGACGCCUCCUUCCAGCCCUCCUCCCUGUUCCAGCUGGCCAGACACGGCAUUUUGAAGCAGCAGCAACAUCUGAACCUGGCUCCCAACUGGGCUGCUAUCACAGCAAUCCUUUUCAUCCUGGGCUUCCUCGUGCUGGUGCUGACCACCCUGGCCAUCGUGUUCCAGCCUGCUGGCCCCAAAAUCAGCCCCCUGAAGGGCUGGAAGCCACGCUGGAGGAGCCUGGGGGAGCCACACAUCCCACCAGAGUACAUCCUCCUUAAGGACAGAGUUCUAUGAGAUGCUUGGUCCUCGUGGAUCUGGAGAAGAUGCUGGCUCUGGAG
Molecule: long non-coding RNA, 492 nt
Filed under: Junco hyemalis (dark-eyed junco)
Lineage: Eukaryota; Metazoa; Chordata; Aves; Passeriformes; Passerellidae
Description: lncRNA (ENSJHYG00000012394.1)
Source: RNAcentral